AUAUAUAUAUAUAUAUAUAUACUUAAAUUAAACAAUUAAUUAAUAAGAACAAAAAGUAAAAUCAUCAAAUUAAUAAUAAAUUAAUAAUACCAUAUAAAAUAAACAACUAAUGUCUAAUUAACAAGACAAAAGUAAAACUAAUUAAUCUAACAACUAAUUAACAAUAAUAAGAAGUAAAAAGUAAACUAAUUAACAACAAUUUAAUAAUGUCCAUAUAAAUUACA
RNAcentral lists this unclassified non-coding RNA (224 nucleotides) under Hevea brasiliensis (rubber tree). The record is from RNAcentral. Lineage: Eukaryota; Viridiplantae; Streptophyta; Magnoliopsida; Malpighiales; Euphorbiaceae.